RNAcentral lists this small nuclear RNA (121 nucleotides) under Chinchilla lanigera (long-tailed chinchilla). RNAcentral's name for it is "U4 spliceosomal RNA (ENSCLAG00000020528.1)". It matches the Rfam family "U4 spliceosomal RNA". Rfam says of the family: U4 small nuclear RNA (U4 snRNA) is a component of the major U2-dependent spliceosome. The structure of U4 snRNA from yeast and human has been reported. Lineage: Eukaryota; Metazoa; Chordata; Mammalia; Rodentia; Chinchillidae. The record is from Rfam by way of RNAcentral.
AGCUUUGCGCAGUGGCAGUACCGUAGCCAAUGAGGCUUAACCGAGGCACGAUUAUUGCUGAUUGAAAAUAAAUUUGCAUUUUUCACAAGGUGCAAACGCUGACCUACCCCCGUCAUUGGGU